CACUAGUGUUUAGUGUUGAUGUGACGCAACAACUAUCAGCUGGUUUUGUUUUGCUUCAUUUCUCUAUGCUCCGCUUGAAUUCAGAAACGUACAAAAAACUUGCGUUUUAAUUCAUUAAUGCGAGACAAAAGGAUAACUAAAGUGCCGGAGUAUAUUUGCCAUCCACGACACAAUUUUUCUCCAGUAGGUAUUCGGUUUGCCACCAUCUUUCCGAGAGGUCCAACCGAUCCCAGGCCUCCGAUCCAGGGCGGAGGGAGGGAAGGAGGUCGUUGGGAAUCGGGAUGGAGACCGGAGAGGGAGCCGACGGUCCUGGCGGCCCGGGGCUGUGCUGCGCCUCCUUCAACCAGGACUCCACGUCAUUGGCUGUGGGCACCAAAACUGGAUACAGACUCUUCUCCGUGACCUCAGUGGAUAAACUGGACUGCAUUCAUGAAAGCACAGAAACUCCAGACGUGUAUAUCGUGGAAAGGCUUUUCUCCAGCAGCCUGGUGGUGGUGGUGAGUCAGUCCAUGCCACGUCGCAUGAAUGUCUACCACUUCAAAAAGGGCACAGAGAUUUGCAACUACAGCUAUUCGAACAACAUCCUUGCAGUGCGCCUUAACAGACAGAGACUGGUUGUUUGUCUGGAGGAAUCCAUCUAUAUCCAUAACAUAAAGGAUAUGAAACUUCUUAAGACCCUUCUCAACACACCAUCCAACCCAUCAGGUCUGUGUGCUCUCUCCAUCAACCAUUCCAACUCUUUCCUGGCAUACCCAGGCAGUGACACCAUCGGCGAAAUUAUUGUCUACGACGCCAACAAUCUGAGCACUGUGACGAUGAUCCCAGCCCAUGAUAGUCCCCUGGCUGCCAUUACCUUUAACGCCUCCGGCACUAAACUGGCCAGUGCCUCUGAAAGGGGCACUGUGAUUCGAGUUUUCUCUAUACCAGAGGGUCAGCGUUUGUUCGAGUUUCGCCGGGGAAUGAAAAGGUAUGUCAACAUCAGCUCCCUUUCCUUCAGCCCGGAUGCUCAGUUUCUCUGUGCCUCAAGCAAUACAGAGACGGUGCACAUUUUCAAGCUCGAACAGCACAGCCCAAGUGGGGAGGAAGACAAUCCCUCUUGGUCAACAUAUGUAGGUAAGAUGUUCACAGCAGCCAGUAGCUACCUCCCUGCACAGGUGUCAGGCAUGAUGAGUCAAGACCGAGCCUUUGCUACCGUCCGUUUUCAAAUGGCCGGUCAGAAGAAUGUCUGUGCCCUGGCAACAAUCCAGAAGCUUCCACGAUUGCUUGUGUCCUCUUCUGAUGGGCAGCUAUUCAUCUAUAACAUUGAUCCUCAAGAUGGUGGCGAGUGCACUUUGGUGCAGAAGCACAGGUUGUUCGGAUCAGAUAAUGAGCAGGACGAGACAGAAAAAUCUGAACUUUCAGAACCACCACAAGCAGGCCAGUCUUAUGCCGCCACUGUGGCCAUUCCCACCUCUGGACCCGUCACGGCCACUCUCACAGGGUACUCAGAGGACGGGGGAGCUAAAAAGGGUGAAGUGAUUCCUGAACACGAGUUUGCUGCCGGGCCCGUGUGCCUGGACGACGAAAAUGAAUUUCCUCCCGUGAGCAUUCGCUAACCUCCCCACGUCAGACUACACAGUGUUACGUUCCAGUGUAUGGGAUUGUUUUGUCCCUCUGUCCACAAGAACACAACUAAAUAAAUUGGUGCCGUGACGGAUCUGGGAGAGGCAAAGGGAGACGACCGUGAGAGGGUAGAGAUCAGGUGGAGGCCACCGCUGUCACAGGAGGAUCCUCAGUGCAUGAUCAAGGACAAAUAAAAAAAAAAGUUUAACUUCAGGGUGCUAAUUUAUUAACGGAACGUUGAAAUGCUAAUAUCUUAAUUUCAUUUGGUCAGGGAUUUGGGUCAUUGUCGCUCAAACCCCUGAAGGGUGUGUUAUAAAUAAGGUGCAUGACUGAAAUAUAAUCAUAUAUUGUUAUAGUUGCGUAAGACAUAUUAAUUAAGUCGUAAUACUGUAGCAUUUUAUUAUUUUAAUUUUUAACACCCAUCAUAUUAAAUCUUAAGAGAUGAAUUACUUUUUUAUAUAUUGUUUUGCUGUAUUGACACUUAAUAUGUUUACAUGUCGCCAUCCUGAAUACUAACACACCGGGAUGUUUUGUAUGUAUGUGCCUAUGAUAUACCUUGUAAGAGUGCAAAGUUUUUUGCUGGAUUGCUCAAGACCAAAACAUAAAAAGAGAGAUAAAUAUGUAGGAAAUAUAUUAGGAAUGAAAAUAUGCAAAGCA
Non-coding RNA from Misgurnus anguillicaudatus (oriental weatherfish), 2259 nucleotides. The record is from RefSeq and is a predicted model, not a curated record. NCBI's taxonomy places the organism in Eukaryota, Metazoa, Chordata, Actinopteri, Cypriniformes, Cobitidae.